Macaca mulatta (Rhesus monkey) is the source of this 119-nucleotide non-coding RNA. The record is from Rfam. NCBI's taxonomy places the organism in Eukaryota, Metazoa, Chordata, Mammalia, Primates, Cercopithecidae.
GUCUAUGGCCAUACCACCCUGAACGUGCCUGAUCUUGUCUGAUCUUGGAAGCUAAUCAGGGUCGGGCCUGGUUACUACUCGGAUGGGAGACCAAAUAUCCAAUCAAAGUAAUAAAAAAA